CUCUGUCUCCACUUCCUCCUCCUCCCUCAAGAGAGGCACGAUCGAGCUGUCCUCUUCCGGCACACGUUUCUGUUGAAAAAAUAUUUCAUUAGACUCUUAUUUGUUUCAGAUUUUUCAUCAUCAAAUCAUACGAGAGAGAGAGAGAGAGAACUUGCUCAACAGAUUCACUACUCAAAACUGAAAGCUUGUACGAGUGAGAGAGAGCAUACGAGGGGGCAUGUGCAAUUGGAGCGUGCUGUACUCAACUCCCCAGAGGUUUACCAGCAGCACAACGCUGACAUUUGAUUCAUUUUCUCACCUCACAACUCGGUUUCCGGUCUCAUAAGCAGUUGUGCUCUCGUGAGGGAAACAUACCUGCUUCGAGAGAAGCAUAGCCGAGGAGCUAGCUAAGCUGAGACGAUACCUGAGCUGAGACAACCACAGUCGAGGAGCUACCUGAGCUGAGAGAAGCAUAGCCGAGGAGAUAGCUGUCAUUUCGUCAAAUCAACACAUAUAUGAGCUGUCGAACGGAAUCAUUUGAUGAAUAUAUAAGCUCAGUAUAUAUUAUAAAUAGACAUUUUAAUGAAUUACGUAAAUAUGAUUCUGUUUCUUUAGAAAAAAUGGCGAGAAUACAAAGUUAUCGUUGUGAACUAACUGAACUAUUGGAGAUGCAUCAGCAAUUAUUGGACCAGUUAGCAGAAAAAGGAUGGACAAAUAUGAAAUAUCUAACAUUUGUGAGAGACUAUGAAAAAUUAGGAGUUUGGCAUAGUGAUAACUAUAAUCAUAUUUCAGUUUGUGAUUUAUACGGUACAUCAUAUGAUGCUUA
This 805-nucleotide long non-coding RNA is filed under the name Nilaparvata lugens (brown planthopper). RNAcentral describes it as "uncharacterized LOC120355049, transcript variant X1". The record is from RNAcentral. Lineage: Eukaryota; Metazoa; Arthropoda; Insecta; Hemiptera; Delphacidae.